Long non-coding RNA from Salarias fasciatus (jewelled blenny), 404 nucleotides. RefSeq lists it as uncharacterized. The transcript is spliced from 3 exons. Lineage: Eukaryota; Metazoa; Chordata; Actinopteri; Blenniiformes; Blenniidae. The record is from RefSeq and is a predicted model, not a curated record.
GGGGAAGCCAGCCGACAGCUGCGAGCAGAAGUCACUACCGGGCCUGCAGGGAGUCCCUAGCUGCCAUCAUGUGCUGUUAAUCUGAGGAACUGGCCGGGUUUCCAUCCUGGACUGGAGUGGACCUGAUGGCAGCCAAGAAACCACAGCUUGGACUCCACUACAACCAACAGGCCUUUGUCCUACUGGUCUGGUAGGAAGGCUCGCAGCCUGUCCUCCCCUCCAUACACCUCACUACACUUAUUGCCCACCUGCUCGCACUCCCCUUUCCCAUGGAUAAUACAACUGGACAUUUUCAAUUGAACCUUCACUAAACCCUCGUGGGUUGUUGGCAUCGGGUUUUUGUGUGUGUGUAUGUAAUCACCAGGGGUUAAUUUAUUUAUCCGGAUGGCUCAUUUUGAGGGCUU